GGCACUCAUCAGUUAUUUCUGGAGUGGACAAAUGAAUCAAAAAUAUACAUAUAGUGCUAAUUUUGAUGAUCAUUAAGCAUAAAGUUACAUUUUACCAGAAAUGUAUCUCUGAGAACAGAGAGAUUAUUAUUUGCAUUUUUCUUACAUUUAGCUGAUGUAUUUGUGAAUAUUACUUUAUUCUAGAAAGAAGGCGGCUCAGGCUCAGUAUCAGUUCUCUUCCUGCCUUUUGUCUUUAUAGAUGUGAGCGCUGAGAAAUGCUUGUUCAUAUGAAUAAGCAGACAGGCUUGAAAGGUGUUUUGUUUUAUCAAUGCCAUUCUGUCCUCGGAGUUCAACGUUAAUGGCCAAAAAUCAUGGUUGUCCAGACUCAAGCAUAUUCCUGUGCCAGUGAUGGUACCAGUAGACCCUUCCUGAGUGUGGACCUGGAAUCCCUGCAGGCUGACUCUAGAAGAGAGAGGACAGCACAGUCAGGGAGCCAACUCUGUGCUGAGGGAGUCUGCGGAUCUCAGGGCUGUAUGGCAACGGCAUCCAGACCCUGGACAUACUCCUGCAUGCCAUCUGCUGAGACUUUCUACGUUCUCCAAAUCAUAAAUUGAGAAACCUGGCUUGACAGACACUGUGGUACUGCCUCAGCCAACCACAAAGGUUUUUAGAAGCAAGAAGAGAAUGAAGAGGAGUGGACCUCCUAAAAGAGCUGUAAUAUUGAAGACAGUUCAAGACGGCAUGAGAUGGCAAGGACAGAACAGCCGAGCAGCAGGGAAACAGCACAGCAAAGCCAAGCAGCAUAGAAGUGGUGGCAGCAGUACAAGUAACGGCAACCAUGACUCUGGCAGACAGUGGUGGUGGGUGAGUCGGCCCAUAGAGUGGAACUGGGCACCUCUGGGCAGGAGGUCACCAGUGGAACUGGGCGUCCAGUAAAGGAGAAGGAAUCACAGUCCGGGUCCAUGUAGGUGAAUGCAUGAGCAGAGCAAGUAGCAGUGUGGGGACUACCUUAGUCAUCUGGUGCUGCUAUAACAGAAAUAUCACAAGUGGAUGGCUUCAACCAAGAGAAGUUUAUUCUCUCACAGUCCAGUAGGCUAAACGUCCAAAUUCAGGGCGCUGGCUCCAGGGGAAGGCUUUCUCUUUCUGUUGGCUCUGAAGGAAGGUCCUUGUGAUGCAUCAGUGUUCCCUUGGUCUGGGAACUCUCAGCGCAGAACCUCAGGUCCAAAGGACGCCCUCUGCUCCCAGCACUGAUUACUUGGUGGUAUGAGGUCCCAAACUCUCUGCUUUCUUCCCUUUCUUUUUAUCUCUUGAGCGAUAAAAGGUGGGGCAGGCCACACCCCAGGGAAACUUCCUUUAUAUUGGAUCAAGGAUGCGACAAGCCCACCCUAAAUAUUCUUAACAUAAAAUUACAAUCACAAAAUGGAGGACAACCACAGAAUACUGGGAAUCAUGGCCUAACCAAGUUAAUACACGUAUUUUUUAGGGGACAUAAUUCAAACCAUGACAGGGGCCAAGCUGGUCUACCCUUAGCAGCAGCAGAUGAUUAGGCUGUGCUGAGAGCUAUAACCCUAAGGCCAAGAGGGGCCCUGAAGUGCCUAAGAGAAGGCAUUCCCAGAAGUAUCAGCUGGCACAGCAGAGAAGGGCAGUCAGCUUGCUUGCUCAGCUGAGAGUAAAUAAGAGAGCUGUCCAGGUUGGAACCUGUCCUGAGUGAUAAACUGCAUCUUGUGUCCUGAGUUGUACCGUGUUACCUCCAAGUUGAUCCUGAUCCUGAAUUGUACUUCCCUAAUAAACCACAAAACUGUGAAUAUGUUUGGUGAGUUCUGUGUGGCCAUUGCAACAAGUUAUCGAACCCAGCAUGGAAGUACAGAGUGCCAUGGUUUGUGUGUGGAGGGGGGUGGGGUGGAGUGGUGGAACAGCUGGUGUCACGAAUGAUAAAAAAUUAGGAGUGGAGCUGUGUCUGACUUCCACCUCAUAGGAACUAGAUUUUUGUGCUGACCCUGAUUCUAUUCCCUCAGCAAUCUAGAUGAGUCCUGAUGCUAGUAAACAACAGUAUUCACAGCAAACAGUAGGGUGAGUAUCGACUGGAUAAAGGGCUUUAUCUACUCUACUUUCAAGAGCAAGUUUCAGAGUCUUUUCUGACAUUUUUGCCUUUUCUUUCUUUCCUGUCUUUUUAAUGACCUCUUGCUUUCUUCAUGUAUGAUGUCCGUCCACAACUCACCUGGUCUUCGGUCAUUAGUGUUCAAUGCGUCAAAUCUACUCUUGAGAUGGUCUCCAAAUUCAGCUGGGAUACACUCAAGUACGUAUUUUGGCUCUCGCAGACUUGUUUUAAUUUUAUUCAGUUUCAGUUUGAACUUGCAAAUGAGCAACUGAUGGUCUGUUCUACAGUCGGCCCCUGGCCUAUGUCUGACUGAUCAUAUUGAGAUUUUUCCAUCAUCUCAUUCCACAGAUGUAGUCAGUCUGAUUCCUGUGUUUUCCAUCUGGUGAGGUCCACAUGUCUAGUUACUGUCCAUGCUGCUG
Long non-coding RNA from Loxodonta africana (African savanna elephant), 2496 nucleotides. RefSeq lists it as uncharacterized. NCBI's taxonomy places the organism in Eukaryota, Metazoa, Chordata, Mammalia, Proboscidea, Elephantidae. The record is from RefSeq and is a predicted model, not a curated record. The transcript has 3 exons.